UUUGGGGGCCAAUCAGGUGGAGUUACCAUGAACUCCCCCAGGCUUGAAAAAGAGCAAGGGUAAUGAGUAUUUUCCAGGUUGGUUGGUCUCCUUUUAUUU
This 99-nucleotide signal recognition particle RNA is filed under the name Candidatus Pelagibacter sp. RNAcentral describes it as "signal recognition particle sRNA small type". It matches the Rfam family "Bacterial small signal recognition particle RNA". Rfam says of the family: The signal recognition particle (SRP) is a universally conserved ribonucleoprotein involved in the co-translational targeting of proteins to membranes. Archaeal SRP consists of a 7S RNA and homologues of the eukaryotic SRP19 and SRP54 proteins. In most bacteria, the SRP consists of a 4.5S RNA and the Ffh protein (a homologue of the eukaryotic SRP54 protein). Lineage: Bacteria; Pseudomonadati; Pseudomonadota; Alphaproteobacteria; Candidatus Pelagibacterales; Candidatus Pelagibacteraceae. The record is from RNAcentral.